GCCAUGCCGCGUGCGGGAAGAAGGCCUUCGGGUUGUAAACCGCUUUUGUCAGGGAAGAAAAGGUUCUGGCUAAUACCCGGGACUCAUGACGGUACCUGAAGAAUAAGCACCGGUAAACUACGUGCCAGCAGCCGCGGUAAUA
RNAcentral lists this ribosomal RNA (142 nucleotides) under uncultured bacterium. RNAcentral's name for it is "partial 16S ribosomal RNA". It matches the Rfam family "Bacterial small subunit ribosomal RNA", at positions 391 to 525 of the family's 1533-position model. The record is from RNAcentral.